This 1510-nucleotide long non-coding RNA is filed under the name Vombatus ursinus (common wombat). RNAcentral's name for it is "lncRNA (ENSVURG00010018754.1)". Lineage: Eukaryota; Metazoa; Chordata; Mammalia; Diprotodontia; Vombatidae. The record is from RNAcentral.
CUCAAGGAGCCCAUCUAGAUGCAUGUAUUCACAAAACACGUAAGAAGUCUAGUUUUGGUGGGGAGGUGCAGGUUUUCCUGCCAGGGCCAGAAGGCUGCUCAGCAUGCCCCAGCUCCCCUGAGGCCAUCACUGCUCCUGUCCUCUCCUCUCUACCUGCCUUCUUCCUCUCUCAUUCACCCACACCCUGCCCUCUUCUUCUUUAGGCUCCUCUCUCCCAGACGCCUCACAGAAGUGGACUGCUCAUGUGACUUCACAUCAGCCGCUCAGGCCUGGAACUUUGACAGGGCCUCUAUGUACCAAGAGGUCCUCAGACUGACCCAUGAUGGCACCCAGCUACAGAACUUUACCCUGGAUCCAAACAGUCUCCUGGUGGAUGGAUGUUCUACCAAGAGAACAGAUGAAAAAACUAAGAAAAUUGGUGAGUAUGGCAUCAGCCUUGCCCCAUACCAGUUCCCUGUGUGUGUAUGUGUGUGUUGGGGGGGUGAGCUGAGGGUGAUCCUUGAAGAGUAGGAGAGUAGGGGGAGGGCAGGAACUGAGUGUCCAGGAUGACUUUCCUCUCACCCUAGCCAGCACUCAAUGCUGAGCGUCCAAGAACACUGUCUUGGACUGUGUUCAUCAGACAAAUGAACAGCGGUCAUCCCUACCAAUUGUCAGAUCCCUGAGUGUAUCUCCCCUUCCUGAGCACCCUGGGGAGGGCAGUGGACAUGGGGAAGGUUCUGUGCCCUGCACCUUAAGUCAUUCCCUGUCAUUGGAUAUGAUUCAGUAUCACUGUCACCUUUCUCUGUUCUGACAUUGGGUCCUUGCACUAUCACCCUCCCUUGUCCCAGGUUAUGACACUGGGGUCCCUGAACCGUCUUUUCUGCCUUAAGUGACCUUCCCUCAGUUUGCCCAAUUCCUUUUCUCCUAUGUCCUGAGCCCCAGCUGCUUUUUCUAAAUUCACUCCCAUAGUCUGCCCGCCCCCUUUCUCCUAGGUCAGCUUCUUCUGAAGAGCAAAGGUCUGGUGGCGUGGGAGUUGGGAGGAUGCUCUAGAUUGCAUCCUUCAGCCUCCAUCCUCCAUUUUCCCCAUGGAUUGCUCUUUGUCCCCUCCCUUCCCAUGGGGUGGGAAUUCCAAAGGACAUUUAUUCCCCACUCUGUGCUGUCCCCUUGUCCCCAUGAAGGCCCCUGAGCAUCACCUCUUCUCCCCCCAGACCUGCCCUACUGGGCCAUCAUUUUCAUGUGCCUGGCUAUGCUCCUGGGGCUCAUCCUUUGCCUUCUGUCCUGCUUCGUGGUAAGAGAACUUGGGCAACCCCUAAGAGCCACUAAGGGCUCUGUGUGUGUGUGUGUGUGUGUGUGUGUAUGUGAGAAAGAGAGAGAGAGAGAGAGAGAGAGAGAGAGAGAGAGAGAAGAAGGCUCGGGAUCUGUGUGUGUAUGAGACAGGAGUGUAAAGAUGUGUAGUAUAUUUGUGCGUGUGUCUGUGUAUGAGAGAGAAAGAGGGAGAGAGUGAGAGAGAGAGAGAGGAAGCCAUGGGAUC